RNAcentral lists this ribosomal RNA (253 nucleotides) under uncultured bacterium. RNAcentral describes it as "partial 16S ribosomal RNA". It matches the Rfam family "Bacterial small subunit ribosomal RNA", at positions 524 to 776 of the family's 1533-position model. The record is from RNAcentral.
UACGUAGGGUGCGAGCGUUGUCCGGAAUUACUGGGCGUAAAGAGCUCGUAGGUGGUUUGUCGCGUUGUUCGUGAAAACUCACAGCUCAACUGUGGGCGUGCGGGCGAUACGGGCAGACUGGAGUACUGCAGGGGAGACUGGAAUUCCUGGUGUAGCGGUGGAAUGCGCAGAUAUCAGGAGGAACACCGGUGGCGAAGGCGGGUCUCUGGGAAGUAACUGACGCUGAGGAGCGAAAGCGUGGGGAGCGAACAGG